GAUGAACGCUGGCGGCGUGCCUAAUACAUGCAAGUCGAGCGAACAGACGAGGAGCUUGCUCCUCUGACGUUAGCGGCGGAAGGGUGAGUAACACGUGGAUAACCUACCUAUAAGACUGGGAUAACUUCGGGAAACCGGAGCUAAUACCGGAUAAUAUAUUGAACCGCAUGGUUCAAUAGUGAAAGACGGUUUUGCUGUCACUUAUAGAUGGAUCCGCGCCGCAUUAGCUAGUUGGUAAGGUAACGGCUUACCAAGGCAACGAUGCGUAGCCGACCUGAGAGGGUGAUCGGCCACACUGGAACUGAGACACGGUCCAGACUCCUACGGGAGGCAGCAGUAGGGAAUCUUCCGCAAUGGGCGAAAGCUUGACGGAGCAACGCCGCGUGAGUGACGAAGGUCUUCGGAUCGUAAAACUCUGUUAUUAGGGAAGAACAAAUGUGUAAGUAACUAUGCACGUCUUGACGGUACCUAAUCAGAAAGCCACGGCUAACUACGUG
This 497-nucleotide ribosomal RNA is filed under the name uncultured bacterium. RNAcentral describes it as "partial 16S ribosomal RNA". It matches the Rfam family "Bacterial small subunit ribosomal RNA", at positions 28 to 507 of the family's 1533-position model. The record is from RNAcentral.